Long non-coding RNA from Oenanthe melanoleuca, 972 nucleotides. RefSeq lists it as uncharacterized. The record is from RefSeq and is a predicted model, not a curated record. The transcript is spliced from 3 exons. Lineage: Eukaryota; Metazoa; Chordata; Aves; Passeriformes; Muscicapidae.
GUCCAGGCGCCGCGUGGCUAUCAGCUCCCCCGACUCGGGGUCCACGUGGAAGCUGUCAUCUGCCCCGCUGAUAAUGGUGUUAAAUUAAAUCCCUGCCAGUGGGAUCAGCUCUGCCUUUCUUGCUCUCUGGAGAUGGGCAGGGGGGACCUGGGGCAGCCAUGUGGCAGCACUUCCAGCCACAGCUCAUGGUCAGGAGAAACUCAUGGAGGCUGUGCUUGCAGCAGCCCCUCAAAGGGGCCACCAAUUGCCAAGCUGCUCUCACUUGAUCACCAGGAUGAUCCCAGACACAGAGGAAAUAUUAUAUUAGUAUUAAUGUAAUAUAAAUAUCAUAGCUAUAUGUGCUGGAAGUGGAGACAACACAGGGGUCUUUUACAGAAGGCCAUUAUUUAUUUAUUUAUCCCCUGUUUAAUCCCUUUGGCCAUUCAAAAAUGGUACACAAACCAGUUCACAGCCUGAGACAGAUCAACCCAGAAGGUUUUAUCAUUAAAUUCAUAUCCCUGAGCAGAGCAUCACGAGCAGUGACUGACAACCACCUCACCUGACACAAACUUUAGAGAAGAAGCCAGCCUGGGCUGGUUUUCAAGGAGACUGGGUGACAAUUAAUCACAGAAAGGGGAGGGACGUGGUGGAAAUGACAGAUGAGGGAUGCUGCCAGGCCUCCUUGCCCAUGAACUGGCACACAGCACACUCUUCCUGAUUUCCUCCCCAAAGUGCAGCAUUUCCCCAGACAGGGUUGCAAGGAAAAGCAGCUGCACAGCUCUGCAGCUCAUUUAUUCCUACCACACAUGUCAUUCACAGCUAAUGUUUCAGCUGCAGGUGACAUUUCACCACCAGAACCCAUUUUCAUUAUGAGAGAUUGCCCUUUGUGCAAAUCACAUGAAAAAUAUGUGACAACUUCUGGGGGGUUUGGGAGAGGAGCUGUGCAUUGCCUACAGCUUGAAUAAUGUAAAAUAGUGAGGAUCCAAGAAUACA